Molecule: unclassified non-coding RNA, 732 nt
Filed under: Hevea brasiliensis (rubber tree)
Lineage: Eukaryota; Viridiplantae; Streptophyta; Magnoliopsida; Malpighiales; Euphorbiaceae
Source: RNAcentral
AAACUAUAUAGUAAAUCCGAAUCAAACCGAACUGAAAAAAUCGGUUUAUUUUGGUUCGGUCCAAUCGGUUCCAAAACACUUCUCAUCCACAAUUACAGAGCCAACCCUCCUCUCAAAUCAUUAGCAGAAAAUCCCCCAAAUUCUCGAUUCAUCAAAUUAAAAUCAUAAACACAGAAAGGAAACUAAGAUCAACUCAAGUUAAAAUUGUUUCAAUUAAAUCAAAUACAAUUUUAAUCACAACAAAGCUACAAGCCUAAAAUAAAAAUAUGUAUGCCUUGAAGGAAACUCUCAUGAAACUCUCGAAAACUCAUGAAACACAAGAUCAAAACCAAAAUGACAAUAAAAACAGUUGAACCAUCAGCAAAUGAAGGUGGAAAACAAACCCAAGUAGAGAAACAAAUCUAUUACUCAAAGAUUCUCGAAACUAUCCAUCGAUCUAGCGAAACAACUCGACCAUGACGGCAGCAAAAGGCAGAGCAAUGAGAGAAAUUGCCAACAGAGACAUAGAGUCCUUGCUAUCAUAACAAAAGGCGUGACCUGUUGGAGCCAUUCUAUUCUGGCACAUAGGGGCAAAGCAAUUGAGGAAGAGGGAGAGGAAAGGAACUAAAGAAGAACAAUAAAAGGAAGAAUCAAGGGAAACAAUGAGAAAGUGAAGAAAAAAAAAGAAGGAAGAGGAGGAGGGUGGGGCUGUGGUGGCGUGAGAAAUGAAAGGUAUAGGUAGAAGAAUAAGAG